GCGGCCUUGGCGAAACUGGUAGACGCACUACGUUGAGAGCGUAGUAUUUAGAGGUUCGAAUCCUCUAGGCCGCACCA
Molecule: transfer RNA, 77 nt
Filed under: compost metagenome
Description: tRNA-Leu
Rfam family: tRNA
About the family: Transfer RNA (tRNA) molecules are approximately 80 nucleotides in length. Their secondary structure includes four short double-helical elements and three loops (D, anti-codon, and T loops). Further hydrogen bonds mediate the characteristic L-shaped molecular structure. tRNAs have two regions of fundamental functional importance: the anti-codon, which is responsible for specific mRNA codon recognition, and the 3' end, to which the tRNAs corresponding amino acid is attached (by aminoacyl-tRNA synthetases). tRNAs cope with the degeneracy of the genetic code in two manners: having more than one tRNA (with a specific anti-codon) for a particular amino acid; and 'wobble' base-pairing, i.e. permitting non-standard base-pairing at the 3rd anti-codon position.
Source: RNAcentral